UACGUAGGCAGCGAGCGUUGUUCGGAGUUACUGGGCGUAAAGGGUGUGUAGGCGGUUGUUUAAGUUUGGUGUGAAAUCUCCCGGCUCAACUGGGAGGGUGCGGUGGAGACUGCCGGACUGGAGGCACUCGAGAGGCCGUGGAAUUCCCGGUGUGAGUGGUGAAAUGCGUAGAGAUCGGGAGGAACACCAGUGGCGAAGGCGGCCGGCUGGGGGUGACCUGACGCUGGAGGCGCGAAAGCGUGGGGAGCGAACCGGG
RNAcentral lists this ribosomal RNA (256 nucleotides) under uncultured bacterium. RNAcentral's name for it is "partial 16S ribosomal RNA". It matches the Rfam family "Bacterial small subunit ribosomal RNA", at positions 524 to 777 of the family's 1533-position model. The record is from RNAcentral.